This 413-nucleotide ribosomal RNA is filed under the name Axiopsis serratifrons. Its description in RNAcentral is "partial 12S ribosomal RNA". It matches the Rfam family "Microsporidia small subunit ribosomal RNA", at positions 752 to 1279 of the family's 1311-position model. The record is from RNAcentral. Lineage: Eukaryota; Metazoa; Arthropoda; Malacostraca; Decapoda; Axiidae.
UCUUAAAGGAAAAAUUAUUAACGUUAGAGUAUUAAGAGUUAUGGUCUUUAAAUUUAAAGGAUUUGGCGGUAGUUUAGUCCAGUCAGAGGAACCUGUUUUUGAAACGAUAAACCACGAAAUAUCUUACCUACUUUUGUUUUCAGUUCGUAUACCGUCAUUAUUAGAUAACUUCUAUAGAAUUAAGUCAUUAUAAUGCUGGAUGGGCAGUAUAUUAGAUCAAGGUGCGGCUAAUAGGAAGGUUAAAAUGGGUUACAAUAAAUGUUUAUUUAUUACGGAUAAUAAAAUGUAAGAAUUUUUUGGAAGGAGGAUUUGAUUGUAAUUUUUAUUUAAUAUGUAAAGUUGAUAUCGGCUCUAAACUAUGUACAUAUCGCCCGUCGCUUUCAUUUAUUAAGAUGAAAUAAGUCGUAACAUAG